This is a long non-coding RNA of Anolis carolinensis (green anole), 1263 nucleotides long. NCBI's taxonomy places the organism in Eukaryota, Metazoa, Chordata, Lepidosauria, Squamata, Anolidae. The record is from Ensembl.
GUGAACAAGUUGAUUGAUGAAUUGCAGGCAGCUAUAAAGAGCUACAAAGGUCACCUCUCAAAACUUCUCCCUCAGUUACGGGCUGAACAAGAGCAAUGCACUUCCUAUGUCUACCAGCACAUUAAAGAACUUCCUGCAAACACACUUGUCUCACAAGGUCUGCAGCUAAAGGUAAUGUGCCUACUACAUUUUGCCAACUAUGUUUUUAAAAGACAUUUCUUCAAUAAUAUUCCAAAUGCAUUGUACAUUUCAAUUUUGAUUCUUCAAAAGUGAGAUUUUGAUUUAUUUCUUCCAGUAUUCCAAUUCAUUAGUAUUUAAUUAAAGCAGCAGAUUGAAGAUCUAUAAAUAAAUGCAAGAAGGCAGAUGCAUACAACACUAUAUAUGCAGAAACUUAUUUCUAAUCAAAGAUGCAUAGAAAUAAUGUCAUUUAUAAAGGGCACACACUGCAGAUUUGCCUAAUAAAAUGCACAAAGCCAGGGACAUACUGCAAGUAGUAACAACAUGCAUGUACUUAUGAAUAAGCUAUUACAGUCAAAACUUGGGACCAACACAUAAGUAAUAAUUGGUUACUUGGUAAUGCAUUGACUUUGUUAUUAAUAAGAGUUUAAUAGCGUUAACUCAGCAAUGGGUUAAAAUUAUAGGAGAACAGAUUCCACCUGAACAAUAGGAAGAACUUCCUGAUAGAAAGAGCUGUUCGACAGUGGAACUUUCUGACUCCUUGGAAGCUUUUCAACAGAGGCUGGAUGGCCUUCUGUCAAGGGUGCUUUGAUUGUGUUUUUCGUGCAUGGCAGGGGGUUGAACUACAUGCCCCACAUGGUAUUUUCAAAUUCUAGCAUUCUAUGAGUCUUUGAUUUUAACUUACUGUUGUUACCCCACGAGCACCAUAUUUACUACUUUUACGGCAUAUUGCUACUGAGGUUUCACUUUAUUGUCAGUUAACUUAUUAUGAAUUUUUACCAAACAAAAGACAGCAAUAAGAAUCAACAUCAUCCUGCCCACACCCAACUCUAUCAACACCUGUGGAACUACCCUCAUUCCUCCAAGCAGACCAUGUGGGAUCUGCUUCUGAAGAUACCCAAGCCUCUCCAGCAUCCACAGUAUCCAUGGACCCAGAUUCCUCCCCAAGAUCCUCCGGAGCCCGUGCCCAAUCUAUGCCAACUUCCUCUGUCACCACCGGUUCCUCGGCAACCAUUUCCACCUCAAGAUCCCCUCCCAAGUCCCCACAUGAAUCCUCCUUGGAAGACUCCCCAUCAACCUCCCUGA